UUUAUAACUAUCCACGCUUUGCUACGCUCAUAAAUGACUUCUAUUUACUCACCAUUAUACGCUUUCUUCGAAGUUCUGAUAAGAUUAGGACUACAGUAAAUUUGUUUAUUUGCUUUCUUAUCGCCGCUCACUUGCCAGCCCAAUCUGGUGCUCCCUUUAUGACCAACGUAACGUAAGAGUAUACAUAAAUAACUGCUUUGUGCUAUAUCUAGAGAGUCAUAUAUUGAAUAGAGACUUUAUCUAAUGGCACAUACCUUGCGUAAUAUUAAAUUCCUGUGCGUGGAUAUUAUUUUAUUAAAAUUUAAGUGCUGAGUUAUUCAGUUUGACUUAGCAGUUCGUUGAUGUAAGACGUAUGUGUCCACUGGGAACUCCAAUAUUGGGGCCUUACCGGACAGUAUUAAAAAAUGUGAUUCCUUUGGAUUUUUGGGUGAUCUACAACUUGACCCACUAAAUGUUCAAAUAGUUCAAAUGGAUUUGGUAACAUCGCAUCGGAACUGCAGUUUAACUCAACAAAUUUCUAAAAGUCUGAAAUAACAGAUCAGCGCCUGUUAUUUCUUUUUUUCAAAUUCCGAUCUCCAGGACAUUUUAAAUAACCUUGAAUUAUAUAAUAGUUCAUCCUUAAAAGUUUUUAAAUACGCUUGAGAGAUCGAAAGUGUUUGCGCUAACAAGAAAUCUACAAAAGUUUAAAAUAUGCUGAAAAUUGUUUUAUUUCCUUCUUGCUAAGAAUACACGUUUCUUAUUGAUUUUUAAAACCUUUGAAAUAACACUAAAUGAUCUUAGUUGAUAAACCUUUUUAACUUUUUUGUUUUUCGAACACGAUUCGGAUGAUGUAUCGGCAAAUUCUGCGUUCAUAGUCGACAAUUAAUAUAUCCUUGCCGAAGAAUGAAGCAACCGUUUACCAAAAUUGGGCUUCGUAACUCAACUGCCAGUGGUUUAAAUAAUUUGAAUAAAUUUAUCGACAGCAAACAUAGUUGACAAAUACUAUAUAUGAGCUUAACUUAGAAGUUGACGAUUAUAUUCCUGACAUUGUCGACAUAUUUUUGUAACUCAAGUCUUUAAGUCUUUUCGAUAAAUUUAUCAACAGCAAACAUAUUUGACAAAUACUACGUAUAUACUUAAAUAUGUAUACAUAUUUAAAGAGCUCAACUAAUGAGUUGACAAUUAUAUUCCUGCACAUUGUCAAAAUGUUUUAAGUGGUGUACUUGAAAAACUUAUAAAAUCCAAAAACCUUUAAUAAAUUUGCAGCAGAGCCAUAGUAAACUUGAAAAGCGGGUCUGUUCUGUAAAAAAUUGUCAACGAUCUUGCACAAAUCACUUUUUUGACACGAAAUAAUUUUUUUUAUUAUUAUUAAUUUAGCAAAGAGCUUUAGAACUUCCUAAAAAAAUUAACUUGACAAACUCCUUGUUAUUAAAAAAUCCUUAAAUUUUUUAUGCUAUGAAAUGUAUUUUAUAACACUAAAUAAAUAUGUUUAUUAAUAAAAACUGUAAUUAGUAUUGCAGCAAAAAAAAUAAAAAUAGUUCACCAUCCUUUGAAAGAGAAAAGCUUUAGAAAGCUUUAUGGUACCCAACCGAAAAUAUAAUUUGAGCUUUAAAAAGCUCUAAAUUUAAAAAAGUAUAUUUAAAAAAGUAUAUUUUAAAUUUACUUUUGAUACUACUUUAAAAUUAAAAUUGUAAUAACUUUCGAUAUUUGGUAAUAAAAAUAAAUAUGAAUAAUAUA
Molecule: long non-coding RNA, 1716 nt
Organism: Zeugodacus cucurbitae (melon fly)
Lineage: Eukaryota; Metazoa; Arthropoda; Insecta; Diptera; Tephritidae
Exons: 2
Source: RefSeq, a predicted model, not a curated record